This 218-nucleotide unclassified non-coding RNA is filed under the name rhizosphere metagenome. Its description in RNAcentral is "partial ribosomal RNA internal transcribed spacer region". The record is from RNAcentral.
GUAGGUGAACCUGCGGAAGGAUCAUUAAAGAGACGUUGCCCUUCGGGGUCGACCUCCCACCCUAUGUUUAUCAUACCUCUGUUGCUUUGGCAGGCCCGUCCUCGGACCACCGGCUCCGGCCGGUCCGUGCCUGCCAGGGGACCUAAAACUCUGUUUGUUAAUGCAGUCUGAGUACUAUAUAAUAGUUAAAACUUUCAACAACGGAUCUCUUGGUUCUG